This 87-nucleotide ribosomal RNA is filed under the name Paenibacillus odorifer. The record is from RNAcentral. Lineage: Bacteria; Bacillati; Bacillota; Bacilli; Caryophanales; Paenibacillaceae. RNAcentral also lists the same sequence under 1 other name.
GUACCCAUCCCGAACACGACCGUUAAGCCCUCCAGCGCCGAUGGUACUUGGACCGAAGGGUCCUGGGAGAGUAGGACGUUGCCAAGC